This 184-nucleotide non-coding RNA is filed under the name Salmonella enterica subsp. enterica serovar Muenchen. RNAcentral describes it as "6S RNA". It matches the Rfam family "6S / SsrS RNA". Rfam says of the family: E. coli 6S RNA was the first non coding RNA to be sequenced, but its function was unknown until recently. It consists of 184 nucleotides that fold into an extended hairpin structure with a large single-stranded internal bulge. The 6S RNA specifically associates with RNA polymerase holoenzyme containing the sigma70 specificity factor. The record is from RNAcentral. Lineage: Bacteria; Pseudomonadati; Pseudomonadota; Gammaproteobacteria; Enterobacterales; Enterobacteriaceae. RNAcentral also lists the same sequence under 1 other name.
AUUUCUCUGAGAUGUUUGCAAGCGGGCCAGUCCCCUGAGCCGAUAUUUCAUACCACAAGAAUGUGGCGCUCCGCGGUUGGUGAGCAUGCUCGGUUCGUCCGAGAAGCCUUAAAACUGUGACGACACAUUCACAUUGAACCAAGGGUUCAAGGGUUACAGCCUGCGGCGGCAUCUCGGAGAUUCC